AGGGUUUGAUCCUGGCUCAGGAUGAACGCUAGCGGCAGGCUUAACACAUGCAAGUCGAGGGGCAGCAUGUCCAGCAAUGGAUGAUGGCGACCGGCGUAAGGGUGCGUAACGCGUGAGCAACAUGCCCUAUACAGGAGGAUACUCCGGGGAAACCCGGUCUAAUACUCCAUAGUAUUAUUGAGAGGCAUCUCUUAAUAAUUAAAGCUUCGGUGGUAUAGGAUUGGCUCGCGUGGCAUUAGCCAGAUGGUGAGGUAACGGCUCACCAUAGCAACGAUGUCUAGGGGUUUUGAGAGGAAGGCCCCCCACACUGGGACUGAGACACGGCCCAGACUCCUACGGGAGGCAGCAGUGAGGAAUAUUGGACAAUGGAUGGAAAUCUGAUCCAGUCAUGCCGCGUGCAGGAAGACUGCCUUAUGGGUUGUAAACUGCUUUUAUACGGGAGCAAUAAGGGUUACGUGUAGCCUGAUGAGAGUACUGUAUGAAUAAGGAUCGGCUAACUCCGUGCCAGCCGCCGCGGUAAUUC
This 523-nucleotide ribosomal RNA is filed under the name uncultured Bacteroidota bacterium. RNAcentral describes it as "bacterial SSU rRNA". It matches the Rfam family "Bacterial small subunit ribosomal RNA", at positions 8 to 526 of the family's 1533-position model. Lineage: Bacteria; Pseudomonadati; Bacteroidota. The record is from RNAcentral.